CGGGAACAGCUCAACUUUAAAAUCUGGCCCUUUCAGGGUCCGAGUUGUAGUCUCGAGAAGCCACGUCCGCGCCGGACCUUGGACAAGUCGGUUGGAAUACCGCGUCAACGAGGGUGACAAUCCCGUUUAUGCCAAGGACGCCCGUGUGCAUUGUGAUGGGCUUUCAAA
RNAcentral lists this ribosomal RNA (168 nucleotides) under Kurtzmanomyces shapotouensis. RNAcentral describes it as "partial large subunit ribosomal RNA". It matches the Rfam family "Eukaryotic large subunit ribosomal RNA", at positions 99 to 261 of the family's 3401-position model. The record is from RNAcentral. Lineage: Eukaryota; Fungi; Basidiomycota; Agaricostilbomycetes; Agaricostilbales; Chionosphaeraceae.